UCUUGACAAGACUCGAUUAUUCUGUGGGCUCUAUACACCAAGAUGCCUGAGGGGGAGAAACAUAAUUUAAACUACAGAACAGGUGUGAGGGUAAAUCUGGCCCCCGUUCCUCCAUCUUGGCUGGAAGUGGAAGUCCCGGUGGAUAUUUUUGAGCCCCUGAUGUAUGCCAGGCACUGCUGUAAGCACUGAGUAUUCAAAGAUGAACAAAAUGAUGUGGCCCCAGUCUCCUAAAAUUUACUAUCAAGAGAAGAAGACAACAGCAUUACUGAACCAGGCACAAAGGAGUGUAGUAAAAGGACAUUUCUUACCCUGAGCCUGGAAAGGGCAUGGCAUUUGCAGCCUGGCAGAGUCUGAUUUUCACCCCAUUCCAUCCCAUCUGACUUCAUAGAUGGGGUCCUGCUAUGUUGCCUAGGAUCAUCUUGAA
This 424-nucleotide long non-coding RNA is filed under the name Homo sapiens (human). RNAcentral's name for it is "HSALNT0384642". The record is from RNAcentral. Lineage: Eukaryota; Metazoa; Chordata; Mammalia; Primates; Hominidae.